This 441-nucleotide ribosomal RNA is filed under the name uncultured bacterium. RNAcentral describes it as "bacterial SSU rRNA". It matches the Rfam family "Bacterial small subunit ribosomal RNA", at positions 20 to 507 of the family's 1533-position model. The record is from RNAcentral.
CGGCUCAGGAUGAACGCUGGCGGCGUGCUUAACACAUGCAAGUCGAACGAACCUUCGGGUUAGUGGCGGACGGGUGAGUAACGCGUGAGAAUCUGCCCUCAGGAGGGGGACAACAGCUGGAAACGGCUGCUAAUACCCCAUAUGCCGCGAGGUGAAAUGAAUUUCGCCUGAGGAUGAGCUCGCGUCUGAUUAGCUAGUUGGUGUAGGUAAUGGCUCACCAAGGCAUCGAUCAGUAGCUGGUCUGAGAGGAUGAUCAGCCACACUGGGACUGAGACACGGCCCAGACUCCUACGGGAGGCAGCAGUGGGGAAUUUUCCGCAAUGGGCGAAAGCCUGACGGAGCAACGCCGCGUGAGGGAUGAAGGCCUCUGGGCUGUAAACCUCUUUUAUCAAGGAAGAAGAUCUGACGGUACUUGAUGAAUAAGCCACGGCUAAUUCCGUG